Molecule: ribosomal RNA, 329 nt
Filed under: Diaporthe phaseolorum
Lineage: Eukaryota; Fungi; Ascomycota; Sordariomycetes; Diaporthales; Diaporthaceae
Description: eukaryotic LSU rRNA
Rfam family: 5.8S ribosomal RNA (bases 1-111)
Source: RNAcentral
CGCAGCGAAAUGCGAUAAGUAAUGUGAAUUGCAGAAUUCAGUGAAUCAUCGAAUCUUUGAACGCACAUUGCGCCCUCUGGUAUUCCGGAGGGCAUGCCUGUUCGAGCGUCAUUUCAACCCUCAAGCCUGGCUUGGUGAUGGGGCACUGCCUGUAAUAGGGCAGGCCCUGAAAUCUAGUGGCGAGCUCGCCAGGACCCCGAGCGUAGUAGUUAUAUCUCGCUCUGGAAGGCCCUGGCGGUGCCCUGCCGUUAAACCCCCAACUUCUGAAAAUUUGACCUCGGAUCAGGUAGGAAUACCCGCUGAACUUAAGCAUAUCAAUAAGCGGAGGA